AGAGUUUGAUCAUGGCUCAGAACGAACGCUGGCGGCAUGCCUAACACAUGCAAGUCGAACGAGACCUUCGGGUCUAGUGGCGCACGGGUGCGUAACGCGUGGGGAUCUGCCCUUUGCUUCGGAAUAACAGUUAGAAAUGACUGCUAAUACCGGAUGAUGACUUCGGUCCAAAGAUUUAUCGGCAAAGGAUGAACCCGCGUAGGAUUAGCUAGUUGGUGGGGUAAAGGCCUACCAAAGCGACGAUCCUUAGCUGGUCUGAGAGGAUGAUCAGCCACACUGGGACUGAGACACGGCCCAGACUCCUACGGGAGGCAGCAGUGGGAAUAUUGGACAAUGGGUGAAAGCCUGAUCCAGCAAUGCCGCGUGAGUGAUGAAGGCCUUAGGGUUGUAAAGCUCUUUUACCCGGGAUGAUAAUGACAGUACCGGGAGAAUAAGCUCCGGCUAACUCCGUG
Molecule: ribosomal RNA, 452 nt
Filed under: uncultured bacterium
Lineage: Bacteria
Description: bacterial SSU rRNA
Rfam family: Bacterial small subunit ribosomal RNA
Source: RNAcentral